RNAcentral lists this small nucleolar RNA (70 nucleotides) under Blastobotrys adeninivorans. RNAcentral describes it as "snR56". Lineage: Eukaryota; Fungi; Ascomycota; Dipodascomycetes; Dipodascales; Trichomonascaceae. The record is from RNAcentral.
CAGAAUGAGGAAGAAACAUCACAGACCUGUACCGAAUUGUACUUGAGGACACUUAUUGCCAAUUCUGACU